GUACUGCUGAGAAGUCCUAAAAUAGCACGAAACGGCCGUCCAGUAC
Molecule: non-coding RNA, 46 nt
Filed under: Schistosoma curassoni
Lineage: Eukaryota; Metazoa; Platyhelminthes; Trematoda; Strigeidida; Schistosomatidae
Source: RNAcentral